UGAGGAAUAUUGGUCAAUGGGCGCAAGCCCGAACCAGCCAUCCCGCGUGCAGGAAGACGGCGCUAUGCGUUGUAAACUGCUUUUCCAGGGGGAGAAACUUGCGCACGUGUUGCGCAAUUGACGGUACCCUGGGAAUAAGCAUCGGCUAACUCCGUGCCAGCAGCCGCGGUAAUACGGAGGAUGCGAGCGUUAUCCGGAUUCAUUGGGUUUAAAGGGUGCGUAGGCGGACUAUUAAGUCAGUGGUGAAAUCCUGCAGCUUAACUGCAGAACUGCCAUUGAUACUGAUAGUCUUGAGUUUGGUUAAGGUAGGCGGAAUGUGUAAUGUAGCGGUGAAAUGCUUAGAUAUUACACAGAACACCAAUUGCGUAGGCAGCUUACUGAGCCGACACUGACGCUGAGGCACGAAAGCGUGGGGAUCGAACAG
Molecule: ribosomal RNA, 424 nt
Filed under: uncultured bacterium
Lineage: Bacteria
Description: bacterial SSU rRNA
Rfam family: Bacterial small subunit ribosomal RNA
Source: RNAcentral